CCCCUGUUCUGUUCCUUUGGCAUGCUGGUGAUGUUCUCUCUGGAAUGCCCACUGGUGAGGAGAAACUCACUCACCACCCUGAAGGCCAAGUGCAAAGGAAGAAUCCAGGAAGCCUUUCUGAUACCUUUGGUAGGAAAUUGUCACCUCUGCUCUCAACUGCGCAUAUAGCAUCUACUAUAUACAGAUACUUGUCCCACGUCUCCCCACAGGCAGCAUGGACACUUUCCUGCCUGCCUCUCUGUGCAGCAGUGUGACAGCACUUUGAUAAAGUGUAAGCAAAACCCAUGAGGCAAAAAGAGAAAUAUACAGAACAAGACUAGGACCAGAUGGUUAAAGUCAGCCACUGCUUUGAGUCUUUCUGGUUGUCAUGGACACAAUCUUUUCUAUUGUUAGUAGCUCCUGUCUCUAUGGUGAGCUCAUACUUAGAACCAGAACUUUACAAAGGCAAGAAAGAGGAUUGACUGUGGGCGAAUAUUUAAAUGAAGGGAGAAGCAGGUAGAGAGAGAAUCAAAAGAUGGGGAAAAGACUAAAAUGUCUGGCUUUACAGUGGCUCCCCUCCCCCAACGAAUAUAUAUAUUUUUUGUUAGGACUUAACCCAGUGGGACCAGUUCCAGCUAUAAACAAAGGCUCCCAAAAGCUGAGGCAAAAGCCAUACCUUGUACAGGUCUACAUUCUUUACUACACGGCCACGCACCAAGUUAGAAACAGAGAAUUAAUUCACGGAGUGGUAGUUUUGCUUCACAGAAGAGAAGAAGUAAGGUUUCCUUGUCGGGUGAGUACACAGAUCUGCUUUCCUCCUCUCUCUUGCCUGGUUGCUGGAUUGUUCAACUAGAAAUUGUAAGAUAACUGCCUUGAUAUGGCUGUCGCCAUUUUGGUUGGUGAUCUCCAUUUUAUACCUUAAAUUUCCAUUUCCUACAUCACGCAUCAUCAUCCAUAAGUGAAACCGACGCGAGAGCAAGGCUUGUCCAUAUAAGGAAUGGACCACAAAUAAGGACCGCUGAGUGGCUGCCCACUCAGCUGAUGCAAUUCCCCACCCGCCUACACCAGCCCCCUGCUAUUUAACCAAGCCCCUUCCCCGCAGCUCUCUCUCUCCUUCCUCCUCCUCCGCUGAGUAGGUCACUCUGCCGCAGCGGCUCUACGAUAAAUCUCUCAUACAAGCUCUGUCGGUGUGCGGAGGGAUGUUUGGCAGGCGCCAGUUUCUUUCAGAAUUGCAAGUUUAUAUCAACUGGCCCUCUAGCCUAAGAAGGAGAGGAAGAUGCUAAUAACAGAGAGGCUCACAGUGAGGAAAAACAUUUUCCUUAUUCACAAUCCAAACGUCAGGAUUGUAUUUUUUCUUUGUUCAAAUAAACUAAUAUGGCGACUAAGAA
This 1367-nucleotide long non-coding RNA is filed under the name Fukomys damarensis (Damara mole-rat). Its description in RNAcentral is "lncRNA (ENSFDAG00000027159.1)". Lineage: Eukaryota; Metazoa; Chordata; Mammalia; Rodentia; Bathyergidae. The record is from RNAcentral.